GACGAACGCUGGCGGCGUGCUUAACACAUGCAAGUCGAACGGUAAGGCCCUACCUUUGUGGGGUGCUCGAGUGGCGAACGGGUGAGUAACACGUGAGUAACCUGCCCUUGACUUUGGGAUAACUUCAGGAAACUGGGUCUAAUACCGGAUAGGAGCGCAUGCUGCAUGGGUGGGGUAGGGUAGUUUCGGCGGUUGGGGAUGGACUCGCGGCUUAUCAGCUUGUUGGUGGGGUAAUGGCCUACCAAGGCUUUGACGGGUAGCCGGCCUGAGAGGGUGACCGGCCACAUUGGGACUGAGACACGGCCCAGACUCCUACGGGAGGCAGCAGUGGGGAAUAUUGCACAAUGGGCAGAAGCCUGAUGCAGCAACGCCGCGUGGGGGAUGACGGCCUUCGGGUUGUAAACCGCUUUCGCCAGUGACGAAGCUUGUGUGACGGUAAAGGGUAAAGAAGCACCGGCUAACUACGUG
Molecule: ribosomal RNA, 468 nt
Filed under: uncultured bacterium
Lineage: Bacteria
Description: partial 16S ribosomal RNA
Rfam family: Bacterial small subunit ribosomal RNA
Source: RNAcentral